This is a non-coding RNA of Kogia breviceps (pygmy sperm whale), 1951 nucleotides long. Lineage: Eukaryota; Metazoa; Chordata; Mammalia; Artiodactyla; Physeteridae. The record is from RefSeq and is a predicted model, not a curated record.
CCUAGGCUGGCUUGUCAGCUGGACUUUAGGGGCUUCCUACACUUUGAGCUGUUGGCAAAGCACAUUGUUACUCUGGGUGGAUCAGAUCCUGAAAACUCUACCUACCAGAGUGGAUUGAUUGGUUUACAGAAUCGAGGGACAUGAACAUUUCCACCAACUUGAGUAUCAAGGCACAAUUAGUGAUCACCGCAAGUUGCUUUGGGAUUCUGUCAUCAAAGCAGAGGGCUGGCAAGCUCUGUUAGAUAUUCCAUCUGUGCUGUGGUGGACCCUGGAGGACCACACCUCACUAUUACCAAGGCUGUAUCUUGAUUCACUGGAAUCCAAAGUAUCUACCCCCGUUAGCUGCUCUCUCUUGCAAGCUGUAUUAGUUUGCUGGAACUGCUGUAACAAACACCACAGAUUGUGUGGUAUAAACAACAGAUUUAUUUUCUCAUGGUUUUGGAUGCUGGAGGUCUGAGAUCAAGGUGUCAGCUGGGUUGGUUCCUUCUGAGGCCUCUCUCUCUGUCUUGUAAAUGGCCAUCUUUUCCUUGUGUCUUCACACAGUCCUUCUGUGCAUGUCUGUGUCUAAAUUUCCUCUUGUAAGGACGUCAAUCAUAUUGGAUUAGGGUCCCCACCUCAAUGAUCUCAUUUUAACUUAGUUACAUCUUUAAAGGCCUUGUCUCCAAAUAGAGUUUCAUUCUGAGAUAUUGGAGGUUAGGACAUAGAUAUGAAUUUGGGGGAGAUGCAAUUCGGCUCAUAACAGAUGGAAUUGGAUAAAUCCAACUCUUUUAAUUUUUGCUACUUUUAAAAAAUUAAAUUACGUUCUUUUCAGAACCUCUAUUUUGUCAAGAUUAGAUACAUUUCAUAGCUUGAAUCAGGUACUUUUUUCCCAGCUUCUUUUAUGAGACAUUGGUCAUACUCCAGUCUCAUCGGGAACAUGCACAGAAGAUGCCUGGAGUGCAGAACAGUUUGGUAGCAAUCACGUCCUGACUCUGCCAUCUGGGAGCUGUGCAAGGGGUCCUUCUGUCUGUGAAUGUGUCUUCAUACCCCUCCCCCACCCAGCUCCUGGGGCAUUCAGAGCCCCCUCUGCUUUCAGUCGAUAUCUGAGCCAGUAAGAAAAGCACUGGCCUGGAAAUCAGGAACCAUGGGCUCUACUUCUUCAUAAUGAUGGAAAAACCAUUGCAAAAGUCACUUCCCCUCCUGAGUCUCAGUUUCCCCAUCUGGAAAACAGAUGUGCUGGUCUAUAGCAUCGCUGAAGUCCCUCCAUGACGUCAUACCCUAGGAUUCUUUGAUCCUGUGAUCGUAUCAGACCUACAGGGUGUGUCUAGGCAAAUGGUCCACCAAUGGGCCUGACUGAAGAAAGUUCCAUUUUGUUGGCCACGAAUUGCAGUUUAGGCUGAGCAGGCUGAGAGUGACCAGUACCUGACUGGGGUGGAAGGUGGCUGGGAGGGAAUGUGUCUUUUAGGACAGCCACCUGAAGGAGCCAGCUUCAAGGUCAGGAGGUCAAGGACAGAGGCAUCCCCUGGCCUGGCCCAGAAAAGGUCAUGGGUCCACACCAGGCCCUCCGACCACUGCCUCCCCACUCCAUCAGCGGGCGUUGUAUUCAGCUAAGAAGAGUUACUUCCAAAGAUCCCAACAUUUCGUUAUCUGCCAAAGCUAAGAAGGAAACUUCUCAGGAAGUAGGCCAGCUCUGUGCAGCUUUCCCUGGGUGUAAGCGAUUUGCAUCCUGAAGGAGCAGUUUGCUGAACACUUUUUAGGUGAUGGAUCCUUAUACAGAAAAAUCACGUAAUGGACCUCUGAGUUGAAGAGGAGGCUUCCCUUCCACUGGGCAUAAGGGGAAAGAAAAGAGGAAUAAACGGCUCCCUAAAUAAAGGAUACAGAGUUUGGGAGCUGUUUUCUGGCAGCUGGAAUGACUGAGGGGAUUUCAAGCACAGAAAAGAGAGAGAAGGGGAAAUGAGAAGACGCGUGUAUC